AUUGGCCUACGGGACGCAGCAGUGAGGAAUACUGGUCAAUGGGCGGGAGCCUGAACCAGCCAAGUCGCGUGAGGGAAGACGGUCCUAUGGAUUGUAAACCUCUUUAGGCGGGGAGCAAUGCCGGGCACGUGUGCCCGGAGGGAGAGUACCCGCAGAAUAAGCAUCGGCUAACUCCGUGCCAGCAGCCGCGGUAAUACAGAGGAUGCGAGCGUUAUCCGGAUUUAUUGGGUUUAAAGGGUGCGUAGGCGGAUUUUUAAGUCAGCGGUAAAAUGUCCGGGCUCAACCCGGGCCGGCCGUUGAAAGUG
RNAcentral lists this ribosomal RNA (305 nucleotides) under uncultured bacterium. RNAcentral describes it as "bacterial SSU rRNA". It matches the Rfam family "Bacterial small subunit ribosomal RNA", at positions 333 to 635 of the family's 1533-position model. The record is from RNAcentral.